RNAcentral lists this ribosomal RNA (444 nucleotides) under uncultured bacterium. Its description in RNAcentral is "bacterial SSU rRNA". It matches the Rfam family "Bacterial small subunit ribosomal RNA", at positions 337 to 797 of the family's 1533-position model. The record is from RNAcentral.
GCCUACGGGGGGCAGCAGUGGGGGAUAUUGCGCAAUGGGGGGAACCCUGACGCAGCAACGCCGCGUGAAGGAAGAAGGUUUUCGGAUUGUAAACUUCUUUGACGUGGGACGAAUAAUGACGGUACCACGAAAACAAGCUCCGGCUAACUACGUGCCAGCAGCCGCGGUAAUACGUAGGGAGCGAGCGUUGUCCGGAUUUACUGGGUGUAAAGGGUGAGUAGGCGGGGCUGAAAGUCAGAUGUGAAAUACCGAGGCUUAACUUCGGGGCUGCAUUUGAAACUUCAGUUCUUGAGUGAUGGAGAGGCAGGCGGAAUUCCUAGUGUAGCGGUGAAAUGCGUAGAUAUUAGGAGGAACACCAGUGGCGAAGGCGGCCUGCUGGACAUUAACUGACGCUGAGGCACGAAAGCGUGGGGAGCAAACAGGAUUAGAUACCCGGGUAGUCCC